GAGAGUGUAGCUCAAGUGGUAGAACAUGUGCUUAGCAUGCACAAGGUCCUGGGUUCAAUACCCAGUACCUCCU
This 73-nucleotide transfer RNA is filed under the name Camelus bactrianus (Bactrian camel). It matches the Rfam family "tRNA". From Rfam's summary of the family: Transfer RNA (tRNA) molecules are approximately 80 nucleotides in length. Their secondary structure includes four short double-helical elements and three loops (D, anti-codon, and T loops). Lineage: Eukaryota; Metazoa; Chordata; Mammalia; Artiodactyla; Camelidae. RNAcentral also lists the same sequence under 2 other names. The record is from Rfam by way of RNAcentral.